CGCGGCCUAUCAGCUUGUUGGUGGGGUAGUGGCUUACCAAGGCUUUGACGGGUAGCCGGCCUGAGAGGGUGACCGGCCACAUUGGGACUGAGAUACGGCCCAGACUCCUACGGGGGGCAGCAGUGGGGAAUAUUGCACAAUGGGCGGAAGCCUGAUGCAGCAACGCCGCGUGCGGGAUGACGGCCUUCGGGUUGUAAACCGCUUUCGCCUGUGACGAAGCGUGAGUGACGGUAAUGGGUAAAGAAGCACCGGCUAACUACGUGCCAGCAGCCGCGGUGAUACGUAGGGUGCGAGCGUUGUCCGGAUUUAUUGGGCGUAAAGGGCUCGUAGGUGGUUGAUCGCGUCGGAAGUGUAAUCUUGGGGCUUAACCCUGAGCGUGCUUUCGAUACGGGUUGACUUGAGGAAGGUAGGGGAGAAUGGAAUUCCUGGUGGAGCGGUGGAAUGCGCAGAUAUCAGGAGGAACACCAGUGGCGAAGGCGGUUCUCUGGCCCUUUCCUGACGCUGAGGAGCGAAAGCGUGGGGAGCGAACAGGCUUAGAUACCCUGGUAGUCCACGCUGUAAACGGUGGGUACUAGGUGUGGGGUCCAUUCCACGGGUUCCGUGCCGUAGCUAACGCUUUAAGUACCCCGCCUGGGGAGUACGG
Molecule: ribosomal RNA, 643 nt
Filed under: uncultured bacterium
Lineage: Bacteria
Description: bacterial SSU rRNA
Rfam family: Bacterial small subunit ribosomal RNA
Source: RNAcentral